RNAcentral lists this small nuclear RNA (19 nucleotides) under Arabidopsis thaliana (thale cress). RNAcentral describes it as "snRNA_17923". The record is from RNAcentral. Lineage: Eukaryota; Viridiplantae; Streptophyta; Magnoliopsida; Brassicales; Brassicaceae.
UUCUAUCGGGUAAAGCCAA